CGCGCACGCCGCGAGCCGCUGGCGCCCGGGCUCCGCUCGAAUCCCAUGCAACAGCCAGGAUGUGAAGCGGGGCAGAGCCGGGGGAGCCCAGCCCAGCCAGCCUCCAGAAUGGGGACACGUCUUGCUGCGGCACGGGGAUUAAACGGUGUCACGUGGAUAAGCCCUCGACGGCCGGUUGCACGAACAGGGGCUCGGCGCCUGUGCCCUCCUACCCGUCAUCUCCAUGAGGAGAAGUUGGAGGGAGGAGCGGUGGGGAGUGGCUGCUGAGAGCCAGGGGUCCUGAGGAUGGAGCUCAGGGGGCCCUGGAACAGUCCAUGAGGUUUCCUGUCUUCCGGGGAGAAGGUAAGAAGCCCAAAGGCCAGAGACCC
Molecule: long non-coding RNA, 368 nt
Filed under: Canis lupus dingo (dingo)
Lineage: Eukaryota; Metazoa; Chordata; Mammalia; Carnivora; Canidae
Description: lncRNA (ENSCAFG00020018935.1)
Source: RNAcentral